CAGCAACUCAAGAGGACUGCUCAAGGUUGGAGUGGCCGUAGCCAUGGAAAGAACCCAAAAGCAUGGAAAGAACCAAAAAGCACUGUGCGUUGUUUUCAUCGAAGUCACGCGGCAAUUUCAUUAAAUCAAAAGAAAUAACUCAAAGGAAGAAGAGAUGGAAUUGCCAGGUUGCCCACUUGUGUGCUGUGACAUCCCCCAGCCUGUUCCAUGAAGCCCAUACAACACGACUUCACCAGAGCCCAGGGAAGGAAACACGGCACUUGAGAUGUGGCAUAAGCACUGGCCAGGGUGGCUUGGGCUGUUCCUCUGCAUGCUUCACAGCUGCAGGAGUGCACAGAAGAGUUCUGCUUCAGGACUUUUCAGUGAAUUGACAUCUUCGUAGCUGCAGAACUGUUAUGGCCCUCCAAGGUGGCUCUCCAGUAAAAAGCGCUUGCACGUGGCCCUCGUUGUUUUCCCAACAUCAUCCUGUUGCGAAGCAUCAAAGCGCAGUUGAUCCUGGUGCUGAAAACACAGCCACACAGCUCUGCAAAGGGAGAUGUAUUUCAAAAUAAUGCAAAAGGACUCACACCUGUGAUCUCUGUGUUCCAGCGGCCCGUGCUGCUGACCCCUCUGGUCACCGAAGCCUUCUCUGUGCACUUGCAGAUGAC
Long non-coding RNA from Gallus gallus (chicken), 647 nucleotides. The record is from Ensembl. Lineage: Eukaryota; Metazoa; Chordata; Aves; Galliformes; Phasianidae.